UGACGAGGCACUACGGUGCUGAAGCAACAAAUGCCCUGCUUCCAGGAAAAGCCUCUAAGCAUCAGGUAACAUCAAAUCGUACCCCAAACCGACACAGGUGGUCAGGUAGAGAAUACCAAGGCGCUUGAGAGAACUCGGGUGAAGGAACUAGGCAAAAUGGUGCCGUAACUUCGGGAGAAGGCACGCUGACACGUAGGUGAAGUGAUUUACUCAUGGAGCUGAAGUCAGUCGAAGAUACCAGCUGGCUGCAACUGUUUAUUAAAAACACAGCACUGUGCAAACACGAAAGUGGACGUAUACGGUGUGACGCCUGCCCGGUGCCGGAAGGUUAAUUGAUGGGGUCAGCGCAAGCGAAGCUCCUGAUCGAAGCCCCGGUAAACGGCGGCCGUAACUAUAACGGUCCUAAGGUAGCGAAAUUCCUUGUCGGGUAAGUUCCGACCUGCACGAAUGGCGUAAUGAUGGCCAGGCUGUCUCCACCCGAGACUCAGUGAAAUUGAACUCGCUGUGAAGAUGCAGUGUACCCGCGGCAAGACGGAAAGACCCCGUGAACCUUUACUAUAGCUUGACACUGAACAUUGAGCCUUGAUGUGUAGGAUAGGUGGGAGGCUUUGAAGUGUGGACGCCAGUCUGCAUGGAGCCGACCUUGAAAUACCACCCUUUAAUGUUUGAUGUUCUAACGUGGACCCGUGAUCCGGGUUGCGGACAGUGUCUGGUGGGUAGUUUGACUGGGGCGGUCUCCUCCUAAAGAGUAACGGAGGAGCACGAAGGUUGGCUAAUCCUGGUCGGACAUCAGGAGGUUAGUGCAAUGGCAUAAGCCAGCUUGACUGCGAGCGUGACGGCGCGAGCAGGUGCGAAAGCAGGUCAUAGUGAUCCGGUGGUUCUGAAUGGAAGGGCCAUCGCUCAACGGAUAAAAGGUACUCCGGGGAUAACAGGCUGAUACCGCCCAAGAGUUCAUAUCGACGGCGGUGUUUGGCACCUCGAUGUCGGCUCAUCACAUCCUGGGGCUGAAGUAGGUCCCAAGGGUAUGGCUGUUCGCCAUUUAAAGUGGUACGCGAGCUGGGUUUAGAACGUCGUGAGACAGUUCGGUCCCUAUCUGCCGUGGGCGCUGGAGAACUGAGGGGGGCUGCUCCUAGUACGAGAGGACCGGAGUGGACGCAUCACUGGUGUUCGGGUUGUCAUGCCAAUGGCACUGCCCGGUAGCUAAAUGCGGAAGAGAUAAGUGCUGAAAGCAUCUAAGCACGAAACUUGCCCCGAGAUGAGUUCUCCCUGAGACUUAGAGUCUCCUGAAGGAACGUUGAAGACGACGACGUUGAUAGGCCGGGUGUGUAAGCGCAGCGAUGCGUUGAGCUAACCGGUACUAAUGAACCGUGAGGCUUAACCUUACAACGCCGAAG
Molecule: ribosomal RNA, 1394 nt
Filed under: Salmonella enterica
Lineage: Bacteria; Pseudomonadati; Pseudomonadota; Gammaproteobacteria; Enterobacterales; Enterobacteriaceae
Description: partial 23S ribosomal RNA
Rfam family: Bacterial large subunit ribosomal RNA
Source: RNAcentral